GAAAUGCGAUAAGUAAUGUGAAUUGCAGAAUUCAGUGAAUCAUCGAAUCUUUGAACGCACCUUGCGCUCUUUGGUAUUCCUUGGAGCAUGCCUGUUUGAGUAUCAUGAAAUCUUCAAAGUAAAUCUUUUGUUAACUCAAUUGGUUUCUACUUUGGUAUUGGAGGUCUUUGCAGCUUCACACCUGCUCCUCUUUGUUCAUUAGCUGGAUCUCAGUGUUAUGCUUGGUUCCACUCGGCGUGAUAAGUUAUCCAUCGCUGAGGACACUGUAAAAGGUGGCCAAGGUAAAUGCAGAUGAACCGCUUCUAAUAGUCCAUUGACUUGGACAAUACUUUUAUGAUCUGAUCUCAAAUCAGGUAGGACUACCCGCUGAACUUAAGC
This 378-nucleotide unclassified non-coding RNA is filed under the name plant metagenome. Its description in RNAcentral is "partial contains 5.8S ribosomal RNA, internal transcribed spacer 2, and large subunit ribosomal RNA". The stretch from base 1 to 105 matches the Rfam family "5.8S ribosomal RNA", at positions 50 to 154 of the family's 154-position model. The record is from RNAcentral.